UGGACGGAAACCAGUCAUGGCGCGGAUGACACGUAGAGGUCAAACCCAAAAGAGAUCGCGUGGAUGCCCUGCCUGGGGUUGAAGCGUUAAAACUAAUCAGGCUAGUCUGUCAGUGGCGUGUCUGUCCGCAGCUGCCAGGCGAAUGUAAAGACUGACUAAGCAUGUAGUACCGACGGUGUAGUAAUUUCGGACGCGGGUUCAACUCCCGCCAGCUCCACCA
RNAcentral lists this transfer-messenger RNA (220 nucleotides) under Pantoea sp. BRM17. It matches the Rfam family "transfer-messenger RNA", at positions 153 to 374 of the family's 374-position model. Rfam says of the family: Bacterial tmRNA, also known as 10Sa RNA or SsrA, is named for its dual tRNA and mRNA-like properties. Its role is to liberate the mRNA from a stalled ribosome. The record is from RNAcentral. Lineage: Bacteria; Pseudomonadati; Pseudomonadota; Gammaproteobacteria; Enterobacterales; Erwiniaceae.